Molecule: ribosomal RNA, 487 nt
Filed under: uncultured bacterium
Lineage: Bacteria
Description: bacterial SSU rRNA
Rfam family: Bacterial small subunit ribosomal RNA
Source: RNAcentral
GAUGAACGCUAGCGGCAGGGCUUAACACAUGCAAGUCGAACGGAGUUACUUAACUAGAUCCCUUCGGGGUGACGGUUACUUAACUUAGUGGCGGACGGGUGAGUAACGCGUGAGGAACCCUGCCUUUCAGAGGGGGAUAACGUUUGGAAACGAACGCUAAUACCGCAUAACACAAUCGAGUGGCAUCGCUUGAUUGUCAAAGGAGCAAUCCGCUGAGAGAUGGGCUCGCGUCCGAUUAGCUAGCUGGUGGGGGUAACGGCCCACCAAGGCGACGAUCGGUAGCCGAACUGAGAGGUUGAUCGGCCGCAUUGGGACUGAGACACGGCCCAGACUCCUACGGGAGGCAGCAGGUGGGGGAUAUUGCACAAGUGGGGGAAACCCUGAUGCAGCAAUGCCGCGUGAGGGAAGAAGGUCUUCGGAUUGUAAACCUAAGUAGACAGGGACGAUAAUGACGGUACCUGUAAAGUAAGCUCCGGCUAACUACGUG